This 69-nucleotide transfer RNA is filed under the name Dipodomys ordii (Ord's kangaroo rat). It matches the Rfam family "tRNA". From Rfam's summary of the family: Transfer RNA (tRNA) molecules are approximately 80 nucleotides in length. The record is from Rfam by way of RNAcentral. Lineage: Eukaryota; Metazoa; Chordata; Mammalia; Rodentia; Heteromyidae.
GGGAAUGUGGCUUAGUGGUAGAGUGCUUGCCUAGCAUACAUGAAGCCUGGGUUCGAUUCCUCAGUACCA